Molecule: ribosomal RNA, 515 nt
Filed under: Leucaspius delineatus (sunbleak)
Lineage: Eukaryota; Metazoa; Chordata; Actinopteri; Cypriniformes; Leuciscidae
Description: partial 16S ribosomal RNA
Rfam family: Bacterial large subunit ribosomal RNA
Source: RNAcentral
GUCCAGCCUGCCCAGUGACUACGGGUUUAACGGCCGCGGUAUUUUGACCGUGCAAAGGUAGCGCAAUCACUUGUCUCUUAAAUAGAGACCUGUAUGAAUGGCUAGACGAGGGCUUAACUGUCUCCCCCCUCCAGUCAGUGAAAUUGAUCUAUCCGUGCAGAAGCGGGUAUGAAUAUACAAGACGAGAAGACCCUUUGGAGCUUAAGGUACAAAAUUCAACCACGUUAAACGACUCUGUAAAAAGCAGGAACUUAGUGGCACAUGAAGUCUUACCUUCGGUUGGGGCGACCACGGAGGAGAAAGGAACCUCCGAGUGGACUGGGCUAGGUCCCAAAGCUAAGAGAUACAUCUCUAAGCCGCAGAAUAUCUGACCAAAAAUGAUCCGGCUAAUAAAGCCGAUCAACGAACCAAGUUACCCUAGGGAUAACAGCGCAAUCCUCUCCCAGAGUCCAUAUCGACGAGAGGGUUUACGACCUCGAUGUUGGAUCAGGACAUCCUAAUGGUGCAGCCGCUAU